AGCACGUUCCUUAGAUCCACCUGACGGGGCUCUUGCCCACCAACUUUUCCGGUUGGGUAUCGUCGGUGAAUGAGUCAUUGGCGUGCAAGACGACUGUACCUCCUUCUGCUUGCCAAGCCUCCCUAAGCACACCUUGCUAGAUCAGUCUGGCUGGAAGUCUUUUUUGACUGUUGUGAUCAUGUUAGGGGGAUAGGCAGGUGUUGGGGACAAU
Molecule: small nucleolar RNA, 211 nt
Filed under: Penaeus japonicus
Lineage: Eukaryota; Metazoa; Arthropoda; Malacostraca; Decapoda; Penaeidae
Description: small nucleolar RNA SNORA53
Rfam family: Small nucleolar RNA SNORA53
About the family: The snoRNA ACA53 belongs to the H/ACA family of pseudouridylation guide snoRNAs.
Source: RNAcentral